This 380-nucleotide ribosomal RNA is filed under the name uncultured eukaryote. RNAcentral describes it as "partial 18S ribosomal RNA". It matches the Rfam family "Eukaryotic small subunit ribosomal RNA", at positions 592 to 976 of the family's 1831-position model. The record is from RNAcentral.
CAAUAGCGUAUAUUAAAGUUGUUGCAGUUAAAAAGCUCGUAGUUGGAUUUGUGGCGUACGGUGUGUUCCGGGCACUUGUUGUCUGAGUAACCUGCUGUUGCCAUCCUUGGGUGGAACCUGUGUGGCAUUAGGUUGUCGUGUAGGGGAUGCCCAUCAUUUACUGUGAAAAAAUUAGAGUGUUCAAAGCAGGCUUAUGCCGUUGAAUAUAUUAGCAUGGAAUAAUGAGAUAGGACUUUUUUGCUAUUUUGUUGGUUUGCGCAAAGAGGUAAUGAUUAAUAGGGACAGUUGGGGGUAUUCGUAUUCCAUAGUCAGAGGUGAAAUUCUUGGAUUUUUGGAAGACGAACUACUGCGAAAGCAUUUACCAAGGAUGUUUUCAUUAA